Molecule: ribosomal RNA, 451 nt
Filed under: uncultured bacterium
Lineage: Bacteria
Description: bacterial SSU rRNA
Rfam family: Bacterial small subunit ribosomal RNA
Source: RNAcentral
AGCGAACGCUGGCGGCAGGCUUAACACAUGCAAGUCGAGCGGGCGUAGCAAUACGUCAGCGGCAGACGGGUGAGUAACGCGUGGGAACAUACCUUUUGGUUCGGAACAACACAGGGAAACUUGUGCUAAUACCGGAUAAGCCCUUACGGGGAAAGAUUUAUCGCCGAAAGAUUGGCCCGCGUCUGAUUAGCUAGUUGGUGAGGUAACGGCUCACCAAGGCGACGAUCAGUAGCUGGCUGAGAGGAUGAUCAGCCACAUUGGGACUGAGACACGGCCCAAACUCCUACGGGAGGCAGCAGUGGGGAAUAUUGGACAAUGGGCGCAAGCCUGAUCCAGCCAUGCCGCGUGAGUGAUGAAGGCCCUAGGGUUGUAAAGCUCUUUUGUGCGGGAAGAUAAUGACGGUACCGCAAGAAUAAGCCCCGGCUAACUUCGUGCCAGCCGCCGCCGUAAG